UACGGAGGAUCCAAGCGUUAUCCGGAAUCAUUGGGUUUAAAGGGUCCGUAGGCGGGUCAAUAAGUCAGUGGUGAAAGUCUGCAGCUCAACUGUAGAAUUGCCAUUGAUACUGUUGACCUUGAGUAAUUAUGAAGUGGUUAGAAUAUGUAGUGUAGCGGUGAAAUGCAUAGAUACCGUAAAGAACACCGAUAGCGAAGGCAGCUUGCCAAACUAUAACUGACGCUGAAGCACGAAAGCGUGGGGAGCAAACAGG
RNAcentral lists this unclassified non-coding RNA (253 nucleotides) under uncultured Flavobacteriaceae bacterium. Its description in RNAcentral is "contains 16S-23S intergenic spacer region". It matches the Rfam family "Bacterial small subunit ribosomal RNA", at positions 524 to 776 of the family's 1533-position model. Lineage: Bacteria; Pseudomonadati; Bacteroidota; Flavobacteriia; Flavobacteriales; Flavobacteriaceae. The record is from RNAcentral.